GGAAGCUUCUUCACUGGGGAGGAACCUUGUGAGGCAGCUGGAUUUAAUAUCCAAUGUGGAACAGCCUUUGCCGCCAGCUGCACCGCCAGUUGUGAAUGAAGGAAAAUAUGCUAUUCCAAAGAAGCCAAGGAAGUGUAAAUGCAAAGAGUCACGUUGUUUGAAGCUAUAUUGUAAAUGUCUGGCAUCCGGUACAUUUUGUAACGACAGUUGCAACUGCGUCAAUUGUCACAACAAUGAAGGUAACAAAGCUGCCAGAGACGAAGCAGUUAAUGCUAUUUUUGAACGCAACCCAGAGCUUUGUGGCCGCCUACCACUCUCACAAUUCUAAUAAACCCAAAACAGAGUGGAAAGUGAUAAUAUGAUGAUGGGUAGAAAACAUUCAAAUGCACCAAUAACGUUCUGCCACGGACAGAAUGAAUGUGCGAGAUUUUGUAAUUUCUUCGGAUAUCAAGUGACCUGUGGUUGUAAGGAAGACCACACAUGUUGUUGUGAAGCUCCAAAACACUCACCUCCUUCAUAUGUUAUUACAUAAAUUCUUUAUUAAUGUUUCCAUUAUUUAUUAUAUUUUUAAGAAUAAGACCUCUCUUUUUUUCUUAUUUCCCUUAU
This is a non-coding RNA of Erythranthe guttata (spotted monkey flower), 606 nucleotides long. Lineage: Eukaryota; Viridiplantae; Streptophyta; Magnoliopsida; Lamiales; Phrymaceae. The record is from RefSeq and is a predicted model, not a curated record.